Molecule: ribosomal RNA, 291 nt
Filed under: Triticum aestivum (bread wheat)
Lineage: Eukaryota; Viridiplantae; Streptophyta; Magnoliopsida; Poales; Poaceae
Description: partial small subunit ribosomal RNA
Source: RNAcentral
AUGUCGCCUUUGAGUACGUCGGAGGAACAGGCACCGAGUUCGCCUUUGAGUACGCCGGAGGAACCGGCACCAUGUUCGCCGGAAUUCUUGGUCCAGAGAAGCAUUGUGAGUCCAACGGUGGCUACAACAGAGGUGGCAAAGGCGUCCAAUCCAACUCAGGUGGAGGCCAAGGAAGUUCGGCUCUCGGACCUUGCACCAAUGAUGCUGGAUGAUACCGACGUGCAGACUUUGACACUUGUGCAGAAGCCCAAUGGGAUGAAAUUACGGACCACAGAGAGGUGUAAUUAUUAA